GGGCCCAUAGCUCAAUGGCAGAGCUUCCGGCUCAUAACCGGGUGGUUCGAGGUUCAAGUCCUCGUGGGCCCACCA
Molecule: transfer RNA, 75 nt
Filed under: Deltaproteobacteria bacterium CG07_land_8_20_14_0_80_38_7
Lineage: Bacteria; Deltaproteobacteria
Description: tRNA-Met
Rfam family: tRNA
About the family: Transfer RNA (tRNA) molecules are approximately 80 nucleotides in length. Their secondary structure includes four short double-helical elements and three loops (D, anti-codon, and T loops). Further hydrogen bonds mediate the characteristic L-shaped molecular structure. tRNAs have two regions of fundamental functional importance: the anti-codon, which is responsible for specific mRNA codon recognition, and the 3' end, to which the tRNAs corresponding amino acid is attached (by aminoacyl-tRNA synthetases). tRNAs cope with the degeneracy of the genetic code in two manners: having more than one tRNA (with a specific anti-codon) for a particular amino acid; and 'wobble' base-pairing, i.e. permitting non-standard base-pairing at the 3rd anti-codon position.
Source: RNAcentral